This 107-nucleotide small nuclear RNA is filed under the name Catagonus wagneri (Chacoan peccary). Lineage: Eukaryota; Metazoa; Chordata; Mammalia; Artiodactyla; Tayassuidae. The record is from RNAcentral.
GUACUCACUUGGGCAGCACAUGUACUAAAAUUGGAAUGAUACAGAGAAGAUUAGCAUGGCCCCUGCACAAGGAUGGCAAGCAAAUUCGCGAAGCAUUCCAUAUGUUU